RNAcentral lists this ribosomal RNA (209 nucleotides) under Helicobacter pylori. RNAcentral's name for it is "partial 23S ribosomal RNA". It matches the Rfam family "Bacterial large subunit ribosomal RNA", at positions 1904 to 2112 of the family's 2925-position model. The record is from RNAcentral. Lineage: Bacteria; Pseudomonadati; Campylobacterota; Epsilonproteobacteria; Campylobacterales; Helicobacteraceae.
GCGUUGAAUUGAAGCCCGAGUAAACGGCGGCCGUAACUAUAACGGUCCUAAGGUAGCGAAAUUCCUUGUCGGUUAAAUACCGACCUGCAUGAAUGGCGUAACGAGAUGGGAGCUGUCUCAACCAGAGAUUCAGUGAAAUUGUAGUGGAGGUGAAAAUUCCUCCUACCCGCGGCAAGACGGAGAGACCCCGUGGACCUUUACUACAACUU